RNAcentral lists this ribosomal RNA (300 nucleotides) under uncultured Paracoccaceae bacterium. RNAcentral's name for it is "bacterial SSU rRNA". It matches the Rfam family "Bacterial small subunit ribosomal RNA", at positions 114 to 431 of the family's 1533-position model. The record is from RNAcentral. Lineage: Bacteria; Pseudomonadati; Pseudomonadota; Alphaproteobacteria; Rhodobacterales; Paracoccaceae.
CGCGUGGGAAUAUGCCCUUUGGUACGGAAUAGCCUCUGGAAACGGAGAGUAAUACCGUAUGAGCCCUUCGGGGGAAAGAAUUAUCGCCAAAGGAUUAGCCCGCGUUAGAUUAGGUAGUUGGUGGGGUAAUGGCCUACCAAGCCUACGAUCUAUAGCUGGUUUUAGAGGAUGAUCAGCAACACUGGGACUGAGACACGGCCCAGACUCCUACGGGAGGCAGCAGUGGGGAAUAUUGCACAAUGGGCGAAAGCCUGAUGCAGCCAUGCCGCGUGUGUGAAGAAGGCCCUAGGGUUGUAAAGC